CACGAAGCAGCCAGCAAAGUGCAGAGGCCACAGGAAACGCUAAGCCAGAUGAACAGAUCAUCAGGUGAAUCAACAAGGACUUCCGGAGAAGCUAAUGCAAGGAUGGAUGUUCUGGCACCCUCCUCUUCCUUAACUCCCCUCCCAUCUCCUAGAAGCCACCUGCAUUCCUGGGCUAGUGGCCCUUCUUCCACCCUCAGAGUGCACACUGCAGCACCUGGUUCCAUCACCAUAUCUCCUUGUUGCUCUGACACCCAUUUCCUCUUAUAAGGACCCUUGUGAUUACACAGGGCACACUCAGGUAAUCCAGAAUAAUCUCCCCCAUCUUUGCUUAAUCGCUCUGCAAAGUCUCUUCUGCUAUUGAACAUAGUCAGAGGAUCCAGGUGAUUAGGUGGUGAACCUAUGGAGGGAGUCCCUGUUUAGAUUACCUGAUGGAGGGAGAUCUAAUUGUAAAUAAAUCUGGCAAAUAUGGACUCCAAUGCAAUAAAUUAAACAGCUCCUGAAGACCCAGUCUUUUUGGGCAUCAUGCCCAGUCAGACUUCUUGCCUUCCUCCUGCUCAUCUUCAAGAUGAGAAGAAAAUACAUCUCCAUGAUCAUGGUGACAUGGGCAAGCCCAACGCAGAUGACUUUAUUCUGGAUUCUGGCUUCCAUUUACUGCAAAGUGGCUAAUCCGGGCUGCUGCGUGGCCUGGUGACAAUGGGAUCCAGACAGGCUAGAUCUCCAAGCCUGGAUUGUCCCUGAGCAUCUGCAGCUGCCGUCCACAGCUUGUGGUCAAGGCUGGGGGUGCUGCAGCCAGCUCUGGGUCUCAUCCUCCACCCGGUUCCUGAUCGAGGACAUUAACUCAACUACCCUCUGAGUCUUCCCUUCAGGUAAUUCAAGAGCAUCUGGCUCCUUCUGCCAUUCACAGACAACUGUGAAUGCACCUGGGGCUUGGCUCCACCUGACCUCACCAUUCCUUCUCUGCUGUGGCCAUGCAUGCCCCCCUUCCAGGCUGGCUUGAGGUUACUCCACACAGCAACCCCUGCCCAGCACCCCAAAAAGGGAAUGGCUCUGCCUUUGGUGUUUCCAUCUGUCUCUGCCCUCAGGACUCAGGUCCACCUGUCUAAUUUUGGUAUCAAAUCUCUCCUUUCCUGAAGCACUCACUACUCCACCCAUCCAGAGAUAGAGUCCAUUUCCCUACCCUUGAAUCUGGAUCCAGUCUGUGACUUCUUUUGACCAGCACAAUAUGGUGGAAGUAAAUGCUGGGACCUCCAGGCUUUGUUUUGUUGUUGCUGUUGUUGUUGUUGUUAUUGUUUGUUCAUUUGUUUGUUUUUGCAGUGCUGGGGAUCAAACUCAGGGCUUUGCACAUGCUAGACAAGUGCUCGACCACUGAGCCACAUCUCACACAAGCUUAGCUUUAAGAGGCCCAGAAGCUUCUGUUUUCUCUCUUGGAAGCCAGCGACCGAAGAAAACUCAACUCCAUGAGGCCACCAUUUUAACAGGGAGCCCACACUCUCCGGGUAGAGAGGCCAUGUGGAGAAGCACCGAGGUCCAGACAUGUGAGAGGAGAAGACUACUUGGACCUUCCCACCAAACCCACUAUCAGCUGAAAACCAGGAAGAGUAAGGCAGUCAACUCAUAAGAAACAAUAAACUGUUAUCAUUUGAA
Molecule: non-coding RNA, 1644 nt
Organism: Ictidomys tridecemlineatus (thirteen-lined ground squirrel)
Lineage: Eukaryota; Metazoa; Chordata; Mammalia; Rodentia; Sciuridae
Source: RefSeq, a predicted model, not a curated record